RNAcentral lists this ribosomal RNA (405 nucleotides) under uncultured bacterium. RNAcentral's name for it is "partial 16S ribosomal RNA". It matches the Rfam family "Bacterial small subunit ribosomal RNA", at positions 28 to 526 of the family's 1533-position model. The record is from RNAcentral.
GAUGACCGCUGGCGGCGUGCCUAAUACAUGCAAGUCGAGCGAAGCGGGGACGGGUGAGUAACACGUGGAUAACCUUCUAUCAGACUGGGAUUACUUCGGGAAAACGGAGCUAAACCGGAUAAUUAUAGAUGGAUCCGUGCUGCAUUAGCUAGUUGGUAAGGUAACGGCUUACCAAGGCAACGAUGCAUAGCUGACCCUGGAGGAUGAUCGGCCAGACUGGAGUUGAGACUCGGUCCAUACUCCUACGGAAGGCAGCAUUACGGAGUCUUCCGCGAUGGGCGACAGACUGCGGGAGCAACGCACUGUGGGUGAUGAAGGUCGUCGGAUCGUAAAACUCUGUUAUUAGGGAAGCGGUUCCUAAUCAGAAAGCCACGGAUAGCUACGGGCCAGCAGACGCGGUAAUAC